GUUGACCUCGGAUCAGGUAGGGAUACCCGCUGAACUUAAGCAUAUCAAUAAGCGGAGGAAAAGAAACCAACAGGGAUUGCUCUAGUAACGGCGAGUGAAGCAGCAAUAGCUCAAAUUUGAAAUCUGGCGUCUUCGACGUCC
This 141-nucleotide ribosomal RNA is filed under the name Cladosporium allicinum. Its description in RNAcentral is "partial 28S ribosomal RNA". It matches the Rfam family "Eukaryotic large subunit ribosomal RNA", at positions 1 to 139 of the family's 3401-position model. The record is from RNAcentral. Lineage: Eukaryota; Fungi; Ascomycota; Dothideomycetes; Cladosporiales; Cladosporiaceae.